GAUGAACGCUGGCGGCGUGCCUAACACAUGCAAGUCGAACGAACAGACGAUUUGCUCGCUUCUCUGAUGUUAGCCGCGUACGUGUCACUUACACGUGCAUCACCUACCUCUGAGACAGGCAUAACUUCCGGAAACCGGUGCUAGUACCGGAUAACCUAUUCAUCUUCAUGUUUGAAAAGUUCCAGCCGGUCUUGCUGUUACCUCUACAUAUAUCCUCGCUGCAUUAGCUAGUUGCUACGAUAACGGCUUACCAAGGCGGGCAUGCGUAGCCGACCUGGAAGGGGGAUCGGCCACACUGGAAGUGGAACACGGUCAAGACUCCUACGAGAGGCAGCAGUAGGGAAUCUUCGGCAGUAGGCGAGAGCCUGGCGGAACAGCGCCGCGUGAGUGAUGAAGGUCUUGGGAUCGUAAAGCUCUGUUAUGAGGGGAGAACAUAUGUGUGAGUAGCUGAACACAUCUUGACGGUACCUGAUCAGAAAGCCACGGCUAACUACGUG
This 497-nucleotide ribosomal RNA is filed under the name uncultured bacterium. Its description in RNAcentral is "partial 16S ribosomal RNA". It matches the Rfam family "Bacterial small subunit ribosomal RNA", at positions 28 to 507 of the family's 1533-position model. The record is from RNAcentral.